RNAcentral lists this ribosomal RNA (377 nucleotides) under uncultured bacterium. RNAcentral describes it as "bacterial SSU rRNA". It matches the Rfam family "Bacterial small subunit ribosomal RNA", at positions 521 to 896 of the family's 1533-position model. The record is from RNAcentral.
UAAGACGAACCACACAAACGUUAUUCGGAAUUACUGGGCUUAAAGGGUGCGUAGGCGGCGCGGAAAGUUGGGUGUGAAAUCCCUCGGCUCAACCGAGGAACUGCGCCCAAAACUACCGUGCUCGAGGGAGAUAGAGGUGAGCGGAACUUAGGGUGGAGCGGUGAAAUGCGUUGAUAUCCUAAGGAACACCCGUGGCGAAAGCGGCUCACUGGGUCUCUUCUGACGCUGAGGCACGAAAGCUAGGGUAGCGAACGGGAUUAGAUACCCCGGUAGUCCUAGCCGUAAACGAUGAGCACUGGGUUGGAGGAUCCCUCAUAGUCCUCCAGCCGCAGCGAAAGUGUUAAGUGCUCCGCCUGGGGAGUAUGGUCGCAAGGCUG